RNAcentral lists this ribosomal RNA (387 nucleotides) under uncultured bacterium. RNAcentral's name for it is "bacterial SSU rRNA". It matches the Rfam family "Bacterial small subunit ribosomal RNA", at positions 29 to 416 of the family's 1533-position model. The record is from RNAcentral.
AUUGAACGCUGGCGGCAUGCCUUACACAUGCAAGUCGAACGGCAGCACGGGGGCAACCCUGGUGGCGAGUGGCGAACGGGUGAGUAAUACAUCGGAACGUGCCCAGUAGUGGGGGAUAGCCCGGCGAAAGCCGGAUUAAUACCGCAUACGACCUACGGGUGAAAGCGGGGGAUCGCAAGACCUCGUGCUACCGGAGCGGCCGAUGUCAGAUUAGGUUGUUGGUGGGGUAAAAGCCGUACCAAGCCGACGAUCUGUAGCUGGUCUGAGAGGACGACCAGCCACACUGGGACUGAGACACGGCCCAGACUCCUACGGGAGGCAGCAGUGGGGAAUUUUGGACAAUGGGCGCAAGCCUGAUCCAGCCAUGCCGCGUGCGGGAAGAAGGCC